CGCGGGAUAGAACAUUAGGCAGCUCAUCGGGAUCAUAUCCGCCACAGCGGACACAGGUUCGAGUCCUGUUCCCGCUA
RNAcentral lists this transfer RNA (77 nucleotides) under Flavobacterium flabelliforme. RNAcentral describes it as "Flavobacterium sp. P4023 tRNA-OTHER". It matches the Rfam family "tRNA". Rfam says of the family: Transfer RNA (tRNA) molecules are approximately 80 nucleotides in length. The record is from RNAcentral. Lineage: Bacteria; Pseudomonadati; Bacteroidota; Flavobacteriia; Flavobacteriales; Flavobacteriaceae. RNAcentral also lists the same sequence under 1 other name.